UACGUAGGGGGCUAGCGUUGUUCGGAAUUACUGGGCGUAAAGGGCGCGUAGGUGGCCUUUUGAGUCAGACGUGAAAUCCCCCGGCUUAACCUGGGAACUGCGUCUGAUACUGGAAGGCUUGAGUUCGGGAGAGGGAUGUGGAAUUCCAGGUGUAGCGGUGAAAUGCGUAGAUAUCUGGAGGAACACCGGUGGCGAAGGCGGCAUCCUGGACCGAAACUGACACUGAGGCGCGAAAGCCAGGGGAGCAAACGGG
This 253-nucleotide ribosomal RNA is filed under the name uncultured bacterium. RNAcentral's name for it is "partial 16S ribosomal RNA". It matches the Rfam family "Bacterial small subunit ribosomal RNA", at positions 524 to 776 of the family's 1533-position model. The record is from RNAcentral.